GACGAACGCUGGCGGCGUGCCUAACACAUGCAAGUCGAACGGAAAGGCCCUGCUCUUGUGGGGUGCACGAUUGCGGAACGCGUGAGUAACACGUGAGUAUCAUGCCCUUGUAUGUGGGAUAAAAUCACGAGAAUGGGGCUAUUACAGGAUAGGAGCUCCCGCUGCGUGUGGGUGGAUGGAAAGAUUCGGCUGUGGGAGCUGGAUUCGCGGCUUAUCAGCUUGUUGGUGGAGUAGUGGCUUACCAAGGCUUUGACGGGUAGGCGGCCUGAGAGGGUGACCGGCCACAAUGGGACUGAGAGACGGAGCAGACUCGAACGGGAGGCAGUAGGGGGAAGUAUGACACAGUGAGCGGGAGCGUGAUGAGGAGACGCCGCGUGCGUGAUGACGUCUUUUGGGUUGAGAACAGCUUUCGCCUGUGACGAAGCGGGAGUGACGGUAACGAAUAAAGAAGCACCGGCUAACUACGUG
Molecule: ribosomal RNA, 468 nt
Filed under: uncultured bacterium
Lineage: Bacteria
Description: partial 16S ribosomal RNA
Rfam family: Bacterial small subunit ribosomal RNA
Source: RNAcentral